RNAcentral lists this ribosomal RNA (395 nucleotides) under Donax vittatus. RNAcentral's name for it is "partial 16S ribosomal RNA". It matches the Rfam family "Bacterial large subunit ribosomal RNA", at positions 1925 to 2574 of the family's 2925-position model. Lineage: Eukaryota; Metazoa; Mollusca; Bivalvia; Cardiida; Donacidae. The record is from RNAcentral.
AAACGGCUGCAGCUAAAACUACAUGAAAGUAGCGCGAUAAAUUGUCUUUUAAUUGGAGGAUAGUACAAAAGGUCAGAUGAUGGAAAAACUUUAUUAGAAACAUAAUAUGAAGUUUACCUGUAAGUGAAAAGGCUUACGUUUAUUUGUUAGACGAGAAGACCCUGUUGAGCUUGGUAUACUUUUUUCUAUUAGUCAAGAGUUAGAUUUUGUCGGGGCCGACAGGAAGAGAAAAAAUAUCUUCUUAAUUAGAUUGAGAUCCAACAUGGUUGAUAAUAAAAAUAAGCUACCACAGGGAUAACAGCGCAAUUUUUUUGUAAAGUUCAUAUUUAAAGAGAAGUUUGCGACCUCGAUGUUGAAUCAAGGUAUCUACUAGGUGCAGAAGCUUAGAGAAGUGG